Molecule: ribosomal RNA, 256 nt
Filed under: Streptomyces sp. ISO463_OTU372
Lineage: Bacteria; Bacillati; Actinomycetota; Actinomycetes; Kitasatosporales; Streptomycetaceae
Description: partial 16S ribosomal RNA
Rfam family: Bacterial small subunit ribosomal RNA
Source: RNAcentral
ACGAACGCUGGCGGCGUGCUUAACACAUGCAAGUCGAACGAUGAACCACUUCGGUGGGGAUUAGUGGCGAACGGGUGAGUAACACGUGGGCAAUCUGCCCUGCACUCUGGGACAAGCCCUGGAAACGGGGUCUAAUACCGGAUAAUACUCCCGCACUCAUGUGUGGGGGUUAAAAGCUCCGGCGGUGCAGGAUGAGCCCGCGGCCUAUCAGCUUGUUGGUGAGGUAAUGGCUCACCAAGGCGACGACGGGUAGCCG